This 71-nucleotide transfer RNA is filed under the name Ovis aries (sheep). It matches the Rfam family "tRNA". Rfam says of the family: Transfer RNA (tRNA) molecules are approximately 80 nucleotides in length. Their secondary structure includes four short double-helical elements and three loops (D, anti-codon, and T loops). Lineage: Eukaryota; Metazoa; Chordata; Mammalia; Artiodactyla; Bovidae. The record is from Rfam by way of RNAcentral.
UCCCUGCUGGCUUGGCAGUAAAGAAUCUGCCUGCAAUGCAGGAAACCUGGGUUUGAUCCCUAGGUCAGGAA